This is a long non-coding RNA of Chenopodium quinoa (quinoa), 1324 nucleotides long. RefSeq lists it as uncharacterized. NCBI's taxonomy places the organism in Eukaryota, Viridiplantae, Streptophyta, Magnoliopsida, Caryophyllales, Amaranthaceae. The transcript is spliced from 6 exons. The record is from RefSeq and is a predicted model, not a curated record.
ACCGGUGCUAAAUCUAUUGUAAAAUAAUAAAAAAAACCCCGGAUAUACUAGCUCUUUCUUUCUCUUACUUUCAUUUCCUCGAUCUUUCCUCCUUCUCAUCUGAUCUGCCUCUCUCUCUCUCCUCCAUUGAAGCGUACUCCAAUUUCUCCAUUGAAGGGGCUUUUGAGCUUUCUCUAAGCACUUUCCUCAAACUCCUUCUCUCUCCUUCGAUCUCCUUCUCCAUAACCGCCACUUUCCCUUUCCUUUUUUCUCUCUUUCGAUCUCCUUCUCCUUCUCUCUUUCUAUAAUACUCGUGGUUAGGGUUUCAGGGUUCGUCUAUUUUGAAUUAAAUCGAUGUGCAUGCGUCUUCAACAACAAUAAAUUCGAAUCAAUUUCAAACCAAAAAUCAAAAAUUCGAGAUUUGCAGCUUCCAAGUGUAGGAAUCGGUUCACAUUUCAUUACUUUCACUCAUGUAACGAUGGAAUCAGACAAGUACAUUUGUGUGAGAGAGACCUCACCUUAGAACAACGUUGUUAUUAUUGACAUGAACAUGCCUAAUCAACCUUUGAGGCGUCCCAUCACGGCUGAUUCUGCUUUGAUGACCCUAACUUGAGAAUUCUUGCUCUUAAAGAUUGAAGUUGUUAUUAGUCUACUUCCUUCGAGCUGCCAUGUUGCAAUAGCGAAAGCUUGUAUUGAGUCAAUUGCAUGUACUGGGGAUAAAGUUUUCCUAGGUUGCUGACCACCAAGCAGCUUCAAGAUUUAAAGAGCCAAAGAUGUCCACUUGUUGGUAUUGUCGAUAUCACAUGUGACAUAGGAUGAUCCAUUGAGUUUGUUAACCAAGCCACUACCAUUGACUCACCUUUUUUUAGGUUUAAUCCACUAAAAGAACCAUACCAUUAUGACAUGGAGGGUACUGGUGUAAUAUGCUCAGUUGUCGACAUCCUCGCUCCCUACUGAGUUUGCCAAAGAGACAUGCAGGAAAUUGUCAAAGAUGGAUUUAGAAGGGAAGCGCGAGAGGAGGAGAAGCUGGACAGGUUAAUUGAGCAAAAGGAAAAGUAGAAGAAAGAAGCAAAGAGAAGGGUAAUUGAAGAAGCAGAAAGGGCCAAGGCCAGUGCAAAAGCUGUAGUUGCUUCUUUACUUCCUUCUAAGUUGUUUGGAAACAAAGAAGACAGUAAAGAGCCUGCAGCGUUUUCUGGAAUUACUGAUACGGUGUCAAAUGAUGAAACACAAGCCAGUGGGAAUUGCUACUGCCUCUUAUCUUUGAUUAUUGUGUAGGUUUUUUUAUUUUUUUUCCAGUUUUUUAAAGUGUAAUAUUACAAGUUAUUGAAGAAAAUAUAUGUGUUUU